UACGUAGGGUGCGAGCGUUAAUCGGAAUUACUGGGCGUAAAGCGUGCGCAGGCGGUCCGCAAAGUCUGAUGUGAAAGCCCCGGGCUCAACCUGGGAACUGCAUUGGAAACUAACGGGCUUGAGUGUGGCAGAGGGGGGUGGAAUUCCACGUGUAGCAGUGAAAUGCGUAGAGAUGUGGAGGAACACCGAUGGCGAAGGCAGCCCCCUGGGCUAACACUGACGCUCAGGCACGAAAGCGUGGGUAGCAAACAGG
Molecule: ribosomal RNA, 253 nt
Filed under: uncultured bacterium
Lineage: Bacteria
Description: partial 16S ribosomal RNA
Rfam family: Bacterial small subunit ribosomal RNA
Source: RNAcentral